Long non-coding RNA from Mauremys reevesii (Reeves's turtle), 526 nucleotides. RefSeq lists it as uncharacterized. Lineage: Eukaryota; Metazoa; Chordata; Testudines; Geoemydidae. The transcript has 4 exons. The record is from RefSeq and is a predicted model, not a curated record.
UGUCAGGGAACGUCUGAACUUUGAGAGCUUGCUUUUCAAACUGUGGGUGUUCAGUGUUUCUGGAAAUCAGACCCAAGUGUCCAGUUGUCCAGGAAAACAGAAUACACAUUUCCUCAUCUCCUUCAUUGAAAGCUGGAACUGGAAUUAUGAGUCACUGAAAUGCUAAAAGAAAGGCCGUUCUAGCAGUUUUCCUGUCCAUCUGAUGGCAGCAAGCACAGAGAAACUCACAAGAAAGCAAAGUCUUGUGAUAUUUACAGAUUGAAGCAGCUCUGGCACCCAACAAUGGACAAAACCCCGAGAUCUUUAUUGAAUUUUUACUCAGACAUUAUUUAGACAAAGCUCCUAUUGACUUCAACUGAAUAAGGGGUUUAGGAUUUGACUCAUGUGAAUAUUAUGGAAUGUUCCUGAAAAACCUCUUAUACUGAAUUCAGUUUUCUGAUGCAUUGUGCAAGAAGUAUUUUCCAGAAGCAGAAGAAGGAGCUAUGGAAUUAAAUCCAAAUGGCAUAUAAAAGGCACAGCCCCAGCC